CGAAGGGACCUAGCGUAGUUCGGAAUUACUGGGCUUAAAGAGCUCGUAGGUGGUUAGAAAAGUUGGUGGUGAAAUCCCAAGGCUUAACCUUGGAACUGCCUCCAAAACUUUUUGACUCGAGUAUGAUAGAGGUAAGUGGAAUUUCUAGUGUAGAGGUGAAAUUCGUAGAUAUUAGAAAGAACACCAAUUGCGAAGGCAGCUUUCUGGAUCAUUACUGACACUGAGGAGCGAAAGCAUGGGUAGCGAAGAGGAUUAGAUACCCUCGUAGUCCAUGCCGUAAACGAUGUGUGCUAGACGUUGGAAAUUUAGUUUUCAGUGUCGCAGCGAAAGCGUUAAGCACACCGCCUGGGGAGUACGACCGCAAGGUUAAAACUCAAAUGAAUUGACGGGGACCCGCACAAGCAGUGGAGCAUGUGGUUUAAUUCGAAGAUACGCGCAGAACCUUACCAACACUUGACAUGUUCGUCGCGACUUUAAGAGAUUAGAGUCUUCGGUUCGGCCGGACGAAACACAGGUGCUGCAUGGCUGUCGUCAGCUCGUGUCGUGAGAUGUUGGGUUAAGUCCCGCAACGAGCACAACCCUUACUUUUAGUUGCCACCAUUUAGUUGAGCACUCUAAAAGAACUGCCAGUGAUAAGCUGGAGGAAGGCGGGGAUGACGUCAAGUCCUCAUGGCCCUUACGUGUUGGGCUACACACGUGCUACAAUGGUACUUACAAUGAGAUGCGAAGAGGCGACUCCAAGCCAAUCUCAAAAAGGUACCUCAGUUCGGAUUGUACUCUGCAACUCGAGUACAUGAAGCUGGAAUUGCUAGUAAUCGCGGAUCAGCGCGCCGCGGUGAAUACGUUCCCGGGUCUUGUACACACCGCCCGUCACACCAUGGAAGUUGGUUACACCUUAAAGCAAAGCAUAAA
This 912-nucleotide ribosomal RNA is filed under the name uncultured prokaryote. RNAcentral's name for it is "bacterial SSU rRNA". It matches the Rfam family "Bacterial small subunit ribosomal RNA", at positions 526 to 1438 of the family's 1533-position model. The record is from RNAcentral.